Molecule: transfer RNA, 66 nt
Filed under: Pselaphinae sp. 6 EF-2015
Lineage: Eukaryota; Metazoa; Arthropoda; Insecta; Coleoptera; Staphylinidae
Description: tRNA-Trp
Source: RNAcentral
AAGGAUUUAAGUUAAAUUAAACUAUUAACCUUCAAAGUUAUAAAUAAAGUAUAUCUUUAAGCCUUG